AGUCAAUCUUAUCUCCCUGAGGUUGUAGUGGAACAGAUUGAAGAAACCAAUCCUAUCUCCCUGAAGUUGUAGUGGAGUGGAUCAGAAUGAUGGAUCUCAUAUAUCUGAAGUUGUAGUAGAGCAGAUCGCAUCAGACUUAUUUUUAAAGUUGCAGCGGAACAAGUUGAAGCUACAAGUCUUAUCUUUCUGAAGUUGAAGUGGACCAGACUAAAGAUAACAAAAUUUUGUUCUUUUGAGAAGCUACAAGGUACAUAUCCUAUCUCCCUGACGUUGCAGUGGAGUGGAUCGAAGCAUCAAUUCCUAUACCUCUGAAGAGGCAGUGGACUGGAAUAAGCUACUUGAAGAAGACGAGCACUCAAAGAAGUCAGAACCCAGAAAGACCGAGCAAAAUUGGUCCUUUUAUAAUCUUUGCUCCAUUUUCGUUACACGACAAUGAGCAAAGAGGGGUAGCUGCAAUCUUAGAUAUGAUAUGCAAUAUUAGAAGAUAUGAUUUUGUAAUCUUAGAGAUUUAAUUUGUAGGUACCCUUUAAUCUUAGCCGUUGAUGUAAUUGAUCUGUACCGUUGGAUUUGGGGAGGCUUAACUAUAAAUAGAUGCCUCUCCCUUCAUUGUAAAAGACUUGAGUUUGGAG
This 629-nucleotide long non-coding RNA is filed under the name Gossypium barbadense (sea-island cotton). Its description in RNAcentral is "long non-coding RNA (GBAR_LNC014726)". The record is from RNAcentral. Lineage: Eukaryota; Viridiplantae; Streptophyta; Magnoliopsida; Malvales; Malvaceae.